Molecule: long non-coding RNA, 2325 nt
Organism: Solea solea (common sole)
Lineage: Eukaryota; Metazoa; Chordata; Actinopteri; Pleuronectiformes; Soleidae
Exons: 4
Source: RefSeq, a predicted model, not a curated record
UCCUUGGUUUGUGGACAGAACGGCACGUACUUGAAUGACACUUGGAGGGAUGGAGAAGCAGCAAUAUUUCACUAUUUUCUGACUAAACAACUAUUUCAGUCAUUUAGAAAACUAGAGGCGGCUCCCAGAGAAGGUAAACCUCCACCAAGGCUGCUCAGUCAGUCCCCUCAAGUAGUGAUGUGCGCCCGGAUCAUCAUUAAAAUCCACUCAUCCUCGUGAACCUGAUUUCUUGAAAAUCAUCACAACCUUUACCAAACAAAGAACAAGAAAUAACCCAAAAGCAGAAAUAGAUUUCAUAAGGAUAUAACUUGAUGGACUCGUGGGUUUAGUGUGUGCGAAUAAUUGGUGUUCAAACUAAUGUAACCUUUGUGGGCAUGCUUGCAAUUUAGUUAUUAUCAAGGUUUUCAUGAGGUGUUUACAUGGUUUUGCCAGCUCCUCAUUUCUUACUGAUAAUUUUUGUGAUAUUUUUGCAGCAUUGCUCUUACAGUGGCUGGUUGUGUUUUUUUUUUUCUUCCCCCCUCAUCAGGUCAAGUGCACACACUGCAUAAUGCAGAACAACUCCACAGAGAGCUGAGAGUUGUGAACCCAAUUUUGCAGACACCCUAAUUUAAAGGACAGGGAGACAAGAUGAUUCUGUGGGACUUGCUCUGUUUGUUGUGGAGAUUGCUUUAGAGGCAGAGGGCAUUGUGUGGAGAUAAUAGUGAGGUAGGGGGGAAAAAAAGAAGCUUUGAGCAGAACUGGUUCCACUUUACACUAUUAGGGUCAGUGGUCGAAAUAGGUCCACGGCCUCCGGGUCCCUGUAACACAGAUCAAGGGUCCCAAUGUAUAUCUGCAGAUUACAUCUCCUGAAGUGGAAAAAAAUGCAAAUAAUAAAUGUAUGAGCAACGUGCUUGUUUUUUUGCUUGAUUAAUUAUGCCGUUUAAUUCCAGAUCCACCAUGCCGCUCCACCGUAUAAUUUCCCAGUGGUCUUGGCUGUUUCUUCUCUCACAUGCGCUCUCCCCUCUUUUUUUCCUCCUCAUUGCAAAAUGAAUCAUGGAUCCGACCGUCUGUACCCGGGGGACAGCAGCGAGCUGUCGAAUGGGCUGACCAAUCAUGAGCAUCAGAGGCAUACACAGAUGGAGGCAGUCUUUUGUUGUGCACCGCACUCAUCAAGUUAGAAGACAACUGCCGAAUUGGCCUGAAGAAAAUUAAAAGAUGGAACAUCUUAUCCAAUCAGGCUGGUCAGCGUGUGUUGGUGUGAGUGGGUGGCAGGAUUUCAGUGCCAUUCAUGAUGUCAAGUGGGACCAUGGCCGCUCCUCUAUUCCCAGCCUGGCCAACCCUCUCUCAGCCUCCUGACAGUUUCAGGUGCCGUGGCUCCAUGGAAGACCUGUGUGGUGUUCUCUCCGGGAUCGCUGAUUCUGAACGGGGGACAGCGAAGGCCCAGAAUGAUGCCAGAGUAUUAUUUGUCCCUGGUGAAUGGAGCUGUCUCACGACAUCUAACUCUUCCCCCCCUGUGCACUGCAGGAUUUUGCCGGCAGUCGAACAAAUCUGAGUCACAGUUUACGUUCGAAUGUGAUGGAAUCUCCCACUUGUUUCAGUCAUCCUCCCUCGCUCCCUCUCCUCCAUCUCUCUCUCUCUCUCUCUCCCUCUUUUGCGCCGGCUGCUAAUCAGCAUUUGAAAGGCAGCUUUGACAGUGAGAAAGAAAGUGAGGGGGGCACGGAGGGGUGGGGGUAAACGAAAGCAUGAGACACAGCGAGUUAGGGAGGGAGAGCCGGAGAGAGACUGAGGCGAGGGGCUGUACAAGCAUGCCUUUUAUAUUUACUAGUGACUGAGAGAGAGAGAGAGAGGGAGAGAGGGAGCAGCUGAAGGCAGAGACAACUGGUGUGCACGGCUUUCCCAAGAGGAAAUGAAAAGAAAGAAGCUCAGCGAGGAGAGUGAAUGAGUGAGCGGGAGAGAGGAAGGGUGGGAGGGAGUAUGUCUGCUGGAGAGAGAGGGAGAGAGAGAGAGAGUGAGGGCGAAAAAGAGAUUCUCACACUGGCUGUGUCCUAAUCCGAGUCCAUCUCCAAGAAGCAGCGGAGCAGAGUGUUAGUGAAGUGAGUCUGAGAGCCAAGGAGAGCUACAUCAUACACACACUUACACCCACACACACACACACACACAAUGUCUCUCACUCUCUGUCACACACACACACUCUUGCUGCGGGGGUCCGCGAUGUGUCCAGCAGUGUGGACGCGGCUUUUGUGAAAGUGAGGGGGAUUUGACGCUGCCCCGUCCCGGCCACCUUGGCUCACACACAGACACACGGUAUUUGUUUGCUGUGUUUAAGCUCGAGGUGCUGCUGGUGGA